RNAcentral lists this ribosomal RNA (622 nucleotides) under uncultured archaeon. RNAcentral's name for it is "bacterial SSU rRNA". It matches the Rfam family "Archaeal small subunit ribosomal RNA", at positions 146 to 774 of the family's 1478-position model. The record is from RNAcentral.
GUAAUACUCCAUAGUUCGUUAUUACUGGAAUGUUUUUCGAACGAAAGAUCCGUCGCUUCAGGAUGAGUCUGCGGCCGAUUAGGUUGUUGUUGGGGUAAUUGCCCAACAAGCCUGUAAUCGGUACGGGUUGUGGGAGCAAGAGCCCGGAGAUGGAUUCUGAGACACGAAUCCAGGCCCUACGGGGCGCAGCAGGCGCGAAAACUUUACCAUGCGGGCAACCGUGAUAAGGAAACCCCGAGUGCCAGCACAGGCUGGCUGUCCGCCAGUUUAAACAACUGGCGAAGAAAGGGCCGGGCAAGACCGGUGCCAGCCGCCGCGGUAAUACCGGCGGCUCGAGUGGUGGCCGCUAUUACUGGGCUUAAAGGGUCCGUAGCUUGAUAAUAGGGUCCCUUGAGAAAUCCGCCGGCUUAACUGGCGGGCGUUCAGGGGAAACUUGUUUUCUAGGGACCGGGAGAGGUGAGGGGUACUGCCGGGGUAGGAGUGAAAUCCUGUAAUCCCGGUGGGACCACCUAUGGCGAAGGCAUCUCACCAGAACGGGUCCGACAGUGAGGGACGAAAGCUGGGGGAGCAAACCGGAUUAGAUACCCGGGUAGUCCCAGCUGUAACUAUGUGCGUUAGGUGU